CUCACUCAUUCGGCCAGUCAUGUAUUCACUAAUUAUUCAACAAAUAGUUACGAUGCUUGCUGUGUGCCAGGCACUGUUCCAGGACCUCAGGACCUUUGACCAAGGACCCAGGGAUUCACCACUCAUCCUGUUGAAUUUUGCUACUUCCCAUAGGUCUUUGAGCUUGAGGUCAGAAGCUCUUGUGCAUAAGCAGGCCUGGUGUCCAUCAACAUUCACUAUCAAAUAAGAAUGUCAGUGUGAAGGCCUUUCCCACAGAAACACCAGGUGCAGCUAAGGGAAGCCGGAGGAAGUGGGUCAUUAGCCCAGAAGAGUGAAGGAAACUGAUUCGUGAGUCAAAACGACA
Long non-coding RNA from Homo sapiens (human), 343 nucleotides. RefSeq lists it as uncharacterized. Lineage: Eukaryota; Metazoa; Chordata; Mammalia; Primates; Hominidae. The transcript is spliced from 3 exons. The record is from RefSeq and is a predicted model, not a curated record.